This 74-nucleotide transfer RNA is filed under the name Klebsiella aerogenes. Its description in RNAcentral is "tRNA-Gly". It matches the Rfam family "tRNA". Rfam says of the family: Transfer RNA (tRNA) molecules are approximately 80 nucleotides in length. Lineage: Bacteria; Pseudomonadati; Pseudomonadota; Gammaproteobacteria; Enterobacterales; Enterobacteriaceae. The record is from RNAcentral.
GCGGGCAUCGUAUAAUAGUUACUACAUCAGUCUUCCAGGCUGAUGAUGCGGGUUCGAUCCCGCUGACCGCUCCA